Molecule: transfer RNA, 64 nt
Filed under: Staphylinidae sp. BMNH 1274190
Lineage: Eukaryota; Metazoa; Arthropoda; Insecta; Coleoptera; Staphylinidae
Description: tRNA-Asn
Source: RNAcentral
UUAAUUGAAACCAAAAAGAGGUAAAUCACUGUUAAUGAUUAAAUUGAGACACUCUCCAAUUAAA